Molecule: non-coding RNA, 634 nt
Organism: Arachis ipaensis
Lineage: Eukaryota; Viridiplantae; Streptophyta; Magnoliopsida; Fabales; Fabaceae
Source: RefSeq, a predicted model, not a curated record
AUUUUUGAACUGUGGAACACUAAUGAAAAUAACUAAAUGUACUACCAUUUUUUUAAGCAAAUUCGUUAUUUUUUAGAAUUUUAUUUAUUUACUGAUAUAGCUUCUGUUUUCAUAAUGGCCAUAAGCCCAUAACCUUUCGUUUCUUAUUCUCUCUUGAUGACUUUAUAUUAUCUGAUAUGCCUUUAAGAUAUCAUUCCGAUGAAUACUUUUAACUUUAAUUGUUACCAACUUAUUUUGUUCUAUUUUUGGUCUCAAUGUUUUCCAAUACAGAUUACUGGUUGGCCAUUGUAGUUAAUGGCUUAUGCUUAUUUAGCUGUUAGUCCUCCAAGCAUGAUAGCGCGAUCUGAAGAGAUGGCUGCAGCAGCAUCAAAUAAAAGUACUGCCAAGAAAGAUUCGAGAUAUCCUGAAAUAGAGGAGCAAGCAUUGUGCGAAUCCAGUAUAUCAAAAUACAACAAUAAUUUGUAAUCCUCUUUAUAUUCAUUGAUACAUGGAAAGUAGUAGUUUAGACAUGUUUCAUUUUUUUUUACUCUAUUGUUGAAUGAUUGUUCAAUUGGAUAGUUGGAUCCAUUGUUUUAUGUACUAAUAUAUUGUAACAUUACAGUGCUUGUGAAUCUUUAGAAUGUAUUUACUGUCU